CCUACGGGGGGCAGCAGUGGGGGAUAUUGCACAAUGGGGGGAACCCUGAUGCAGCGACGCCGCGUGGGUGAAGAAGGGCCUCGGCGCGUAAAGCCCUGUCAGCAGGGAAGAAAAGGACGGUACCUGAAGAAGAAGCCACGGAUAACGACGUGCCAGCAGCCGCGGUAAUACGGAGGGGGCAAGCGUUAUCCGGAUUUACUGGGUGUAAAGGGGGCGCAGACGGGGCUGCAAGCCAGGAGUGAACGCCCGGGGCCCAACCCCGGGACUGCGCUUGGAACUGCGUGGCUGGAGUGCAGGAGGGGCAGGCGGAAUUCCUGGUGUAGCGGUGAAAUGCGUAGAUAUCAGGAGGAACACCGGUGGCGAAGGCGGCCUGCUGUACUGCAACUGACGUUGAGGCCCG
RNAcentral lists this ribosomal RNA (400 nucleotides) under uncultured bacterium. RNAcentral describes it as "partial 16S ribosomal RNA". It matches the Rfam family "Bacterial small subunit ribosomal RNA", at positions 338 to 755 of the family's 1533-position model. The record is from RNAcentral.